AGCCCAGAGCCUGAAUCAGUGUGUGUGUUAGUGGAAGCGUCUGGAAAGGCGCGCGAUACAGGGUGACAGCCCCGUACACAAAAAUGCACAUGCUGUGAGCUCGAUGAGUAGGGCGGGACACGUGGUAUCCUGUCUGAAUAUGGGGGGACCAUCCUCCAAGGCUAAAUACUCCUGACUGACCGAUAGUGAACCAGUACCGUGAGGGAAAGGCGAAAAGAACCCCGGCGAGGGGAGUGAAAAAGAACCUGAAACCGUGUACGUACAAGCAGUGGGAGCACGCUUAGGCGUGUGACUGCGUACCUUUUGUAUAAUGGGUCAGCGACUUAUAUUCUGUAGCAAGGUUAACCGAAUAGGGGAGCCGAAGGGAAACCGAGUCUUAACUGGGCGUUAAGUUGCAGGGUAUAGACCCGAAACCCGGUGAUCUAGCCAUGGGCAGGUUGAAGGUUGGGUAACACUAACUGGAGGACCGAACCGACUAAUGUUGAAAAAUUAGCGGAUGACUUGUGGCUGGGGGUGAAAGGCCAAUCAAACCGGGAGAUAGCUGGUUCUCCCCGAAAGCUAUUUAGGUAGCGCCUCGUGAACUCAUCUCCGGGGGUAGAGCACUGUUUCGGCAAGGGGGUCAUCCCGACUUACCAACCCGAUGCAAACUGCGAAUACCGGAGAAUGUUAUCACGGGAGACACACGGCGGGUGCUAACGUCCGUCGUGAAGAGGGAAACAACCCAGACCGCCAGCUAAGGUCCCAAAGUCAUGGUUAAGUGGGAAACGAUGUGGGAAGGCCCAGACAGCCAGGAUGUUGGCUUAGAAGCAGCCAUCAUUUAAAGAAAGCGUAAUAGCUCACUGGUCGAGUCGGCCUGCGCGGAAGAUGUAACGGGGCUAAACCAUGCACCGAAGCUGCGGCAGCGAC
RNAcentral lists this ribosomal RNA (906 nucleotides) under Escherichia coli. RNAcentral describes it as "partial 23S ribosomal RNA". It matches the Rfam family "Bacterial large subunit ribosomal RNA", at positions 296 to 1212 of the family's 2925-position model. Lineage: Bacteria; Pseudomonadati; Pseudomonadota; Gammaproteobacteria; Enterobacterales; Enterobacteriaceae. The record is from RNAcentral.